Molecule: ribosomal RNA, 482 nt
Filed under: uncultured bacterium
Lineage: Bacteria
Description: partial 16S ribosomal RNA
Rfam family: Bacterial small subunit ribosomal RNA
Source: RNAcentral
AUUGAACGCUGGCGGCAUGCUUUACACAUGCAAGUCGAACGGUAACAGGCCGCAAGGUGCUGACGAGUGGCGAACGGGUGAGUAAUGCAUCGGAACGUGCCCAGUCGUGGGGGAUAACUACUCGAAAGAGUAGCUAAUACCGCAUACGAUCUAUGGAUGAAAGCGGGGGACCGUAAGGCCUCGCGCGAUUGGAGCGGCCGAUGUCAGAUUAGGUAGUUGGUGGGGUAAAGGCUCACCAAGCCAACGAUCUGUAGCUGGUCUGAGAGGACGGCCAGCCACACUGGGACUGAGACACGGCCCAGACUCCUACGGGAGGCAGCAGUGGGGAAUUUUGGACAAUGGGCGCAAGCCUGAUCCAGCAAUGCCACGUGCAGGAAGAAGGCCUUCGGGUUGUAAACUGCUUUUGUACGGAACGAAACGGCUCUGGUUAAUACCCGGGGCUAAUGACGGUACCGUAAGAAUAAGCACCGGCUAACUACGUG